CGCCCUUGAAAUACCACCCUUUAAUGGCUGGUGUUCUAACGUGGGCCCGUGAUCCGGGUUGCGGACAGUGUCUGGUGGGUAGUUUGACUGGGGCGGUCUCCUCCUAAAGAGUAACGGAGGAGCACGAAGGUCAGCUAAUCCUGGUCGGACAUCAGGAGGUUAGUGCAAUGGCAUAAGCUGGCUUGACUGCGAGCGUGACGGCGCGAGCAGGUGCGAAAGCAGGUCAUAGUGAUCCGGUGGUUCUGAAUGGAAGGGCCAUCGCUCAACGGAUAAAAGGUACUCCGGGGAUAACAGGCUGAUACCGCCCAAGAGUUCAUAUCGACGGCGGUGUUUGGCACCUCGAUGUCGGCUCAUCACAUCCUGGGGCUGAAGUAGGUCCCAAGGGUAUGGCUGUUCGCCAUUUAAAGUGGUACGCGAGCUGGGUUUAGAACGUCGUGAGACAGUUCGGUCCCUAUCUGCCGUGGGCGCUGGAGAACUGAGGGGGGCUGCUCCUAGUACGAGAGGACCGGAGUGGACGCAUCACUGGUGUUCGGGUUGUCAUGCCAAUGGCACUGCCCGGUAGCUAAAUGCGGAAGAGAUAAGUGCUGAAAGCAUCUAAGCACGAAACUUGCC
RNAcentral lists this ribosomal RNA (612 nucleotides) under Citrobacter koseri. Its description in RNAcentral is "partial 23S ribosomal RNA". It matches the Rfam family "Bacterial large subunit ribosomal RNA", at positions 2187 to 2798 of the family's 2925-position model. Lineage: Bacteria; Pseudomonadati; Pseudomonadota; Gammaproteobacteria; Enterobacterales; Enterobacteriaceae. The record is from RNAcentral.